Molecule: ribosomal RNA, 253 nt
Filed under: uncultured bacterium
Lineage: Bacteria
Description: partial 16S ribosomal RNA
Rfam family: Bacterial small subunit ribosomal RNA
Source: RNAcentral
UACAGAGGUGGCAAGCGUUGUUCGGAAUUACUGGGCGUAAAGGGCGCGUAGGCGGCCUUCUAAGUCAGACGUGAAAUCCCCCGGCUUAACCUGGGAACUGCGUCUGAUACUGGAGGGCUUGAGUGCGGGAGGGGGAUGUGGAAUUCCAGGUGUAGCGGUGAAAUGCGUAGAUAUCUGGAGGAACACCGGUGGCGAAGGCGGCAUCCUGGACCGACACUGACGCUGAGGCGCGAAAGCUAGGGUAGCAAACGGG